RNAcentral lists this ribosomal RNA (486 nucleotides) under uncultured bacterium. RNAcentral's name for it is "partial 16S ribosomal RNA". It matches the Rfam family "Bacterial small subunit ribosomal RNA", at positions 28 to 507 of the family's 1533-position model. The record is from RNAcentral.
GAUGAACGCUAGCGGCAGGCUUAACACAUGCAAGUCGAGGGGCAGCGCGGGAUAGCAAUAUCCUGGCGGCGACCGGCGGAAAGGUGCGUAACGCGUGAGCGACAUGCCCGUUGCCCGGGGACAACCGGUGGAAACGCCGACUAAUCCCCGAUGGGAUAUUGUGCCGCAUGGCACGAUAUUGAAAGUUACGGCGGCGACGGAUUGGCUCGCGUCCGAUUAGCUUGUUGGCGGGGUAACGGCCCACCAAGGCUGCGAUCGGUAGGGGUUCUGAGAGGAAGGCCCCCCAAAAUGGGACUGAGACACGGCCCAUACUCCUACGGGAGGCAGCAGUGAGGAAUAUUGGUCAAUGGGCGGAAGCCUGAACCAGCCAUGCCGCGUGCGGGAAGGAGGCCCUAUGGGCUGUGAACCGCUUUUGCCUGGGGGAAAUAAGGGCGUCGCGCACGUCCGAUGAGAGUACCAGGCGAAUAAGCAUCGGCUAACUCCGUG